GAUGAACGCUGGCGGCGUGCCUAACACAUGCAAGUCGAACGGAGUCCAGCCUUUAAGACCUUCGGGUCAAAGAGGGGAAGACUGAGUGGCGGACGGGUGAGUAACACGUGGGCAACCUGGCUCAUAGAGGGGGAUAACAGAGAGAAAUUUCUGCUAAUACCGCAUAAGCACACACUGCCGCAUGGCAGAGUGUGAAAAGAGAAUCGCUAUGAGAUUGACCCGCGUUGAUUAGCCAGUUGGCAGGGUAAGAGCCUACCAAAGCGACGAUCAGUGCCGAUCUGAGAGGAUGAACGGCCACAUUGGGACUGAGACACGGCCCAAACUCCUACGGGAGGCAGCAGUGGGGGAUAUUGCACAAUGGGGGGAACCCUGAUGCAGCGACGCCGCGUGAGUGAAGAAGUAUUUCGGUAUGUAAAGCUCUAUCAAGCCUGGGAAAG
This 437-nucleotide ribosomal RNA is filed under the name Oribacterium sp. oral taxon 372. RNAcentral's name for it is "bacterial SSU rRNA". It matches the Rfam family "Bacterial small subunit ribosomal RNA", at positions 28 to 450 of the family's 1533-position model. The record is from RNAcentral. Lineage: Bacteria; Bacillati; Bacillota; Clostridia; Lachnospirales; Lachnospiraceae.